Molecule: transfer RNA, 77 nt
Filed under: bacterium
Lineage: Bacteria
Also listed under: 3 other names
Description: tRNA-Met
Rfam family: tRNA
About the family: Transfer RNA (tRNA) molecules are approximately 80 nucleotides in length.
Source: RNAcentral
GGCGAGGUAGCUCAGCUGGUUAGAGCAACGGAAUCAUAAUCCGUAGGUCGGCGGUUCAAGUCCGCCUCUCGCUACCA